RNAcentral lists this ribosomal RNA (1286 nucleotides) under metagenome. RNAcentral describes it as "bacterial SSU rRNA". It matches the Rfam family "Bacterial small subunit ribosomal RNA", at positions 243 to 1520 of the family's 1533-position model. The record is from RNAcentral.
AGCUUGAUGGUGAGGUAAAAGCUCACCAAGGCGACGAUCUGUAGCGGGUCUGAGAGGAUGAUCCGCCACACUGGAACUGAGACACGGUCCAGACUCCUACGGGAGGCAGCAGUGGGGAAUUUUGGACAAUGGGGGCAACCCUGAUCCAGCCAUGCCGCGUGAGUGAAGAAGGCCUUCGGGUUGUAAAGCUCUUUCAGCCGGGAAGAAAACGCAUGGGUUAAUACCCUGUGUGGAUGACGGUACCGGAAUAAGAAGCACCGGCUAACUACGUGCCAGCAGCCGCGGUAAUACGUAGGGUGCGAGCGUUAAUCGGAAUUACUGGGCGUAAAGCGUGCGCAGGCGGUUUUGUAAGACAGGCGUGAAAUCCCCGGGCUUAACCUGGGAACUGCGUUUGUGACUGCAAGGCUAGAGUACGGCAGAGGGGGGUGGAAUUCCACGUGUAGCAGUGAAAUGCGUAGAGAUGUGGAGGAACACCAAUGGCGAAGGCAGCCCCCUGGUUCGAUACUGACGCUCAUGCACGAAAGCGUGGGUAGCAAACAGGAUUAGAUACCCUGGUAGUCCACGCCCUAAACGAUGUCAACUAGGUGUUGGGAGGGUAAAACCUUUUAGUACCGGAGCUAACGCGUGAAGUUGACCGCCUGGGGAGUACGGCCGCAAGGUUAAAACUCAAAGGAAUUGACGGGGACCCGCACAAGCGGUGGAUGAUGUGGAUUAAUUCGAUGCAACGCGAAAAACCUUACCUACCCUUGACAUGCCAAGAACUUUCCAGAGAUGGAUUGGUGCCCGAAAGGGAACUUGGACACAGGUGCUGCAUGGCUGUCGUCAGCUCGUGUCGUGAGAUGUUGGGUUAAGUCCCGCAACGAGUGCAACCCUUGUCGUUAAUUGCCAUCAUUUAGUUGGGCACUUUAACGAGACUGCCGGUGACAAACCGGAGGAAGGUGGGGAUGACGUCAAGUCCUCAUGGCCCUUAUGGGUAGGGCUUCACACGUCAUACAAUGGUCGGUACAAAGGGUCGCCAAGCCGCGAGGUGGAGCCAAUCCCAGAAAGCCGAUCGUAGUCCGGAUCGCAGUCUGCAACUCGACUGCGUGAAGUCGGAAUCGCUAGUAAUCGUGGAUCAGAAUGUCACGGUGAAUACGUUCCCGGGUCUUGUACACACCGCCCGUCACACCAUGGGAGCGGGCUCCGCCAUAAGUAGGUAGCCUAACCGCAAGGAGGGCGCUUACCACGGCGGGGUUCGUGACUGGGGUGAAGUCGUAACAAGGUAGCCGUAGGGGAACCUGCGGCUG